Molecule: ribosomal RNA, 1567 nt
Filed under: Klebsiella pneumoniae
Lineage: Bacteria; Pseudomonadati; Pseudomonadota; Gammaproteobacteria; Enterobacterales; Enterobacteriaceae
Description: bacterial LSU rRNA
Rfam family: Bacterial large subunit ribosomal RNA
Source: RNAcentral
UGCUGGAGGUAUCAGAAGUGCGAAUGCUGACAUAAGUAACGAUAAAGCGGGUGAAAAGCCCGCUCGCCGGAAGACCAAGGGUUCCUGUCCAACGUUAAUCGGGGCAGGGUGAGUCGACCCCUAAGGCGAGGCCGAAAGGCGUAGUCGAUGGGAAACAGGUUAAUAUUCCUGUACUUGGUGUUACUGCGAAGGGGGGACGGAGAAGGCUAUGUUAGCCGGGCGACGGUUGUCCCGGUUUAAGCAUGUAGGCUGGUUAUCCAGGCAAAUCCGGAUAACCAAGGCUGAGGUGUGAUGACGAGGCACUACGGUGCUGAAGUAACAAAUGCCCUGCUUCCAGGAAAAGCCUCUAAGCAUCAGGUAACAUCAAAUCGUACCCCAAACCGACACAGGUGGUCAGGUAGAGAAUACCAAGGCGCUUGAGAGAACUCGGGUGAAGGAACUAGGCAAAAUGGUGCCGUAACUUCGGGAGAAGGCACGCUGGUGUGUAGGUGAAGUCCCUGCGGAUGGAGCUGAGACCAGUCGAAGAUACCAGCUGGCUGCAACUGUUUAUUAAAAACACAGCACUGUGCAAACACGAAAGUGGACGUAUACGGUGUGACGCCUGCCCGGUGCCGGAAGGUUAAUUGAUGGGGUUAUCCGUAAGGAGAAGCUCUUGAUCGAAGCCCCGGUAAACGGCGGCCGUAACUAUAACGGUCCUAAGGUAGCGAAAUUCCUUGUCGGGUAAGUUCCGACCUGCACGAAUGGCGUAAUGAUGGCCAGGCUGUCUCCACCCGAGACUCAGUGAAAUUGAACUCGCUGUGAAGAUGCAGUGUACCCGCGGCAAGACGGAAAGACCCCGUGAACCUUUACUAUAGCUUGACACUGAACAUUGAGCCUUGAUGUGUAGGAUAGGUGGGAGGCUUUGAAGCGUGGACGCCAGUCUGCGUGGAGCCAACCUUGAAAUACCACCCUUUAAUGUUUGAUGUUCUAACGUUGGCCCCUGACCGGGGUUGCGGACAGUGUCUGGUGGGUAGUUUGACUGGGGCGGUCUCCUCCCAAAGCGUAACGGAGGAGCACGAAGGUUAGCUAAUCCUGGUCGGACAUCAGGAGGUUAGUGCAAUGGCAUAAGCUAGCUUGACUGCGAGCGUGACGGCGCGAGCAGGUGCGAAAGCAGGUCAUAGUGAUCCGGUGGUUCUGAAUGGAAGGGCCAUCGCUCAACGGAUAAAAGGUACUCCGGGGAUAACAGGCUGAUACCGCCCAAGAGUUCAUAUCGACGGCGGUGUUUGGCACCUCGAUGUCGGCUCAUCACAUCCUGGGGCUGAAGUAGGUCCCAAGGGUAUGGCUGUUCGCCAUUUAAAGUGGUACGCGAGCUGGGUUUAGAACGUCGUGAGACAGUUCGGUCCCUAUCUGCCGUGGGCGCUGGAGAAUUGAGGGGGGCUGCUCCUAGUACGAGAGGACCGGAGUGGACGCAUCACUGGUGUUCGGGUUGUCAUGCCAAUGGCACUGCCCGGUAGCUAAAUGCGGAAGAGAUAAGUGCUGAAAGCAUCUAAGCACGAAACUUGCCCCGAGAUGAGUUCUCCCUGAGACU